Molecule: unclassified non-coding RNA, 252 nt
Filed under: Hevea brasiliensis (rubber tree)
Lineage: Eukaryota; Viridiplantae; Streptophyta; Magnoliopsida; Malpighiales; Euphorbiaceae
Source: RNAcentral
GUUCAUCACCACAUCAUCAAAUUUCAAAUGCAAAAUCUUUAUAAUUCCCCCCUAGAAAUAUAUCCCAAGCUCAUCAUCCCAACUAAUACAAAUGAAUAUGCAGGUCCUCUCUGCUACAAUACACACUCCCUGUUCUACCCUCUUGCAAAUAUAAGAAGGCCAUCACAACCAUCCAACGAAUAAAUACAUACACCAUAUAUAUCAAAACCCUAUAUCACAUCCUCCCACUAUUUAUCCUUCCCCACCAUUUCU